This 407-nucleotide RNase P RNA is filed under the name Ignavibacteriales bacterium. Its description in RNAcentral is "RNase P RNA component class A". It matches the Rfam family "Bacterial RNase P class A". From Rfam's summary of the family: Ribonuclease P (RNase P) is a ubiquitous endoribonuclease, found in archaea, bacteria and eukarya as well as chloroplasts and mitochondria. Its best characterised activity is the generation of mature 5'-ends of tRNAs by cleaving the 5'-leader elements of precursor-tRNAs. Cellular RNase Ps are ribonucleoproteins. Lineage: Bacteria; Pseudomonadati; Ignavibacteriota; Ignavibacteria; Ignavibacteriales. The record is from RNAcentral.
AGUUCAAUUCGGGCAAUUGUCCCGGUUUUUGCCGGGGAGGAAAGUCCGAACUUCUCAGAACAGGGUGCCGGGUAACUCCCGGAUCCCGAUUUAUCGGGAAUGGAAAGUGCCACAGAAAAUAAACUUCCUUUCCUUAAGCGGAAAGGUAAAGGUGAAACGGCAGGGUAAGAGCCUACCGCUCCGAUAGUAAUACCGGAGGCAGGGCAAACCCCACCCGAAGCAAGGUCAAAUAAGGGAACUAAUCCCGAUUGUAUAGGGACAAAGAUGUUCUGCUUUGAUUUCUGCUUAGCAGGAUGAAGUUUCCGGGUAGACCGCUUGAUUCCGGUAGUAAUACCGGAGCCAGACAAAUAAUUGCCGUCUCGAUUUUUAUCGGGAAACAGAAUUCGGCUUACAGAAUUGAACAUACU